CGCCGCGUGAGGGACGACGGCCUUCGGGUUGUAAACCUCUUUUAGCAGGAAAGAAGCGAAAGUGACGGUACCUGCAGAAAAAGCGCCGGCUAACUACGUGCCAGCAGCCGCGGUAAUACGUAGGGCGCAAGCGUUAUCCGGAAUUAUUGGGCGUAAAGAGCUCGUAGGCGGUCUGUCGCGUCUGCUGUGAAAACCCGAGGCUCAACCUCGGGCCUGCAGUGGGUACGGGCAGACUAGAGUGCGGUAGGGGAGAUUGGAAUUCCUGGUGUAGCGGUGGAAUGCGCAGAUAUCAGGAGGAACACCGAUGGCGAAGGCAGAUCUCUGGGCCGUAACUGACGCUGAGGAGCGAAAGGGUGGGGAGCAAACAGGCUUAGAUACCCUGGUAGUCCACCCCGUAAACGUUGGGAACUAGUUGUGGGGUCCAUUCCACGGAUUCCGUGACGCAGCUAACGCAUUAAGUUCCCCGCCUGGGGAGUACGGCCGCAAGGCUAAAACUCAAAGGAAUUGACGGGGACCCGCACAAGCGGCGGAGCAUGCGGAUUAAUUCGAUGCAACGCGAAGAACCUUACCAAGGCUUGACAUAUACGAGAACGGGCCAGAAAUGGUCAACUCUUUGGACACUCGUAAACAGGUGGUGCAUGGUUGUCGUCAGCUCGUGUCGUGAGAUGUUGGGUUAAGUCCCGCAACGAGCGCAACCCUCGUUCUAUGUUG
RNAcentral lists this ribosomal RNA (711 nucleotides) under Microbacterium schleiferi. Its description in RNAcentral is "bacterial SSU rRNA". It matches the Rfam family "Bacterial small subunit ribosomal RNA", at positions 395 to 1117 of the family's 1533-position model. Lineage: Bacteria; Bacillati; Actinomycetota; Actinomycetes; Micrococcales; Microbacteriaceae. The record is from RNAcentral.